This is a long non-coding RNA of Oncorhynchus keta (chum salmon), 1522 nucleotides long. RefSeq lists it as uncharacterized. Lineage: Eukaryota; Metazoa; Chordata; Actinopteri; Salmoniformes; Salmonidae. The transcript has 4 exons. The record is from RefSeq and is a predicted model, not a curated record.
UGGUGAUAUGUUACAGGUCCUUGAGGGAGAUGGAGGGAUACAUUACUUUGUGUGGUGAUAUGUUACAGGUCCUUGAGGGAGAUGGAGGGAUAAAUAACUUUGUGUGGUGAUAUGUUACAGGUCCUUGAGGGAGAUGGAGGGAUAAAUAACUUUGUGUGGUGAUAUGUUACAGGUCCUUGAGGGAGAUGGAGGGAUAAAUAACUUUGUGUGGUGAUAUGUUACAGGUCCUUGAGGGAGAUGGAGGGAUAAAUAACUUUGUGUGGUGAUAUGUUACAGGUCCUUGAGGGAGAUGGAGGGAUAAAUAACUUUGUGUGGUGAUAUGUUACAGGUCCUUGAGGGAGAUGGAGGGAUAAAUAACUUUGUGUGGUGAUAUGUUACAGGUCCUUGAUGGAGGGAUAAAUAACUUUGUGUGGUGAUAUGUUACAGGUCCUUGAGGGAGAUGGAGGGAUAAAUAACUUUGUGUGGUGAUAUGUUACAGGUCCUUGAGGGAGAUGGAGGGAUAAAUAACUUUGUGUGGUGAUAUGUUACAGGUCCUUGAGGGAGAUGGAGGGAUAAAUAACUUUGUGUGGUGAUAUGUUACAGGUCCUUGAGGGAGAUGGAGGGAUAAAUAACUUUGUGUGGUGAUAUGUUACAGGUCCUUGAGGGAGAUGGAGGGAUAAAUAACUUUGUGUGGUGAUAUGUUACAGGUCCUUGAGGGAGAUGGAGGGAUAAAUAACUUUGUGUGGUGAUAUGUUACAGGUCCUUGAGGGAGAUGGAGGGAUAAAUAACUUUGUGUGGUGAUAUGUUACAGGUCCUUGAGGGAGAUGGAGGGAUAAAUAACUUUGUGUGGUGAUAUGUUACAGGUCCUUGAUGGAGAUGGAGGGAUAAAUAACUUUGUGUGGUGAUAUGUUACAGGUCCUUGAGGGAGAUGGAGGGAUAAAUAACUUUGUGUGGUGAUAUGUUACAGGUCCUUGAGGGAGAUGGAGGGAUAAAUAACUUUGUGUGGUGAUAUGUUACAGGUCCUUGAUGGAGGGAUAAAUAACUUUGUGUGGUGAUAUGUUACAGGUCCUGGAAGGAGAUGGAGGGAUAAAUAACUUUGUGUGGUGAUAUGUUACAGGUCCUUGAGGGAGAUGGAGGGACACACCAGAGGAGAAGCAGGAGCAAUCUGGGAACAUGGGUUAUACACACACACACACACACACACACACACACACACACACACACACACACAACAACACCUCUUGUACAUGAAGGAUUUUUAUCUUAUUUUAUUUACGAACAUAUAUUUUUUUAUCGUAGUUUAAUUGUCUAUUACUGUAACAUACAUUAUAUUAUUUAAUUAUGAUGGAUCUGAUCUGCAGCUACAGCAAUUCUAUCUGUUUUGUAUUGUGUAUUGUAUUGUUGGGUUGUAAUAUGUACUGAAAUGUAUUAUCAUUGAUUCUUUAUUUAUGUCAUUCAGAUGAUAGAAUAACAUUUUGUUAAUACAUUUCACAUAUACAUGUUUUCUUCUAAUGACCUGUACUUUUACAAUAUCGUUGCAUUG